RNAcentral lists this ribosomal RNA (512 nucleotides) under Embiidae sp. KBMEB133. RNAcentral describes it as "partial 16S ribosomal RNA". The stretch from base 386 to 512 matches the Rfam family "Bacterial large subunit ribosomal RNA", at positions 2473 to 2600 of the family's 2925-position model. Lineage: Eukaryota; Metazoa; Arthropoda; Insecta; Embioptera; Embiidae. The record is from RNAcentral.
GUUUUUUUGGUUCUUUAGGAGAUUGAUUCUGCUCAAUGAAUGUUUAAAUAGCUGCAGUAAAUUGACUGUACGAAGGUAGCAUAAUAAUUAGCUUAUUGGUUGUAAGCUGGUAUGAAUGAUUUGAUGAAAGAUUGACUGUCUAUGUAAUAUAAUAUUAUUUAAUUUUAUUUUUAAGUAAAAAAGCUUAAUAUAUUAUGAGGGACGAGAAGACCCUGUAGAAUUUUAUUUUAUAUAAUUAUUGAUUAUAUAAUAUGGUAUAUAUAUAUUUAUAUUUAUAUAAUGUUUAGUUGGGGUGAUUGGGAGAAUAAUUAAACUUUUUUUAUUAUAGUACAAUAAUAUUUGUUAGUGUGAUUUAGGUUUAUAAGAAAAGAUAAGUUACCUCAGGGAUAACAGCAUAAUUUUUAUGGAGAGUUCUAAUUAAUAUAAAAGUUUGUGACCUCGAUGUUGAAUUAGGAUAACUAUUAGGGGUAGUAUAUUAAUAAGUUGGUCUGUUCGACCAUUAAAGUCCUACA